AAGGGGAGCAAAUCCCAAAAAUAACGUCCCAGUUCGGAUUGUAGUCUGCAACCCGACUACAUGAAGCUGGAAUCGCUAGUAAUCGCGGAUCAGAAUGCCGCGGUGAAUACGUUCCCGGGUCUUGUACACACCGCCCGUCACACCAUGGGAGUCGGAAAUGCCCGAAGUCUGUGACCUAACCGUAAGGAAGGAGCAGCCGAAGGCAGGUCGGAUGACUGGGGUGAAGUCGUAACAAGGUAUC
Molecule: ribosomal RNA, 241 nt
Filed under: uncultured bacterium
Lineage: Bacteria
Description: partial 16S ribosomal RNA
Rfam family: Bacterial small subunit ribosomal RNA
Source: RNAcentral